AUACUAACCUGGCAAGGGAGAUACCAUGAUCACAAAGGUGGUUUUCCGAGGGCAAGGCUUAUCAAUUGCACUCUGGAUGUGCUGACCCCUGCAAUUUCCCCAAAUGUCGGAAACUCGACUGCAUAAUUUGUGGCAGUGGGAGCAGGACAGGAGGAAAGCCCCAG
RNAcentral lists this small nuclear RNA (164 nucleotides) under Delphinapterus leucas (beluga whale). RNAcentral's name for it is "U1 spliceosomal RNA (ENSDLEG00000010783.1)". It matches the Rfam family "U1 spliceosomal RNA". Rfam says of the family: U1 is a small nuclear RNA (snRNA) component of the spliceosome (involved in pre-mRNA splicing). Lineage: Eukaryota; Metazoa; Chordata; Mammalia; Artiodactyla; Monodontidae. The record is from Rfam by way of RNAcentral.